GAUACUAAUUUAUGUUAUUGUUGCAUAGGUGAAUGGUGCUUUAGCUUCAAUGACCAAUUUUAUUGCUAAUAUUUUUCCCACUGGAAGUAUCAAAGAAUAUACAACUUGUCGCAAGGAAGAGUAGGAAGAUCAGGCAGAGAGGGUUUCACAUACCUCUUCUACACUGACAAGUCUUUGCUUUCCAGGAUUGCCAUGGGAGCUUUGGAUGGUGGUCUUGAUAUUCUGCACAGUGACAAGAGAUUUGCUGGCUUCAAGAAGGAUAAGAAGCAGCUGGGCGCUGAGAUUCACCGGAUACAUCUAUGAAGGUCAUGUUGCUGACUACAUGAAGAGAGGGAUGAAUCCGGCCACCAGGGCAAAAGAUCAGGGUGGAUCCAAGCCAUCACCGCCUCUCCUUUACUGCCUUGGACGAUGGCCGCCUCCCAGGUGCAGUCAAUGUGGAGGCCAAAAUCGAAAUUGCGAAAGAGAAGUGAUGCCUCCUCCUCUGAGCUGCUGCAUCACCGUGCCCCUCUGGUGGCUUGCCUGCUUUCAGAACGAAGAGGUGGUGGCAGGCGGAGGAGGGAGCAUGACCCUGGGAUGGACGCAGUGGAGCACAACCAGGUGAUAAUUGGGUGGGAGCAAAAAGGGGAGCAGGCAAUGACCCUUUUUAAAUUUGGCUUCGGUAAGGAGAGCAGGCAAUAACCCUCUUUCACUUUCAUGUCGGUAAGGCCAGAAUGACAGGCCUAAGCUCCUGGUGAUAUCCUACUCCACUCAGUUUUUUCUUCUUCCAUGCCUACACGGAUCUAUUUUUUUUAGUUUAAACCUGUCUAAAUUUCUGUCAUAUCAAAUCUUUUGAAACAAUGUGCUACUAUUAUUAUUACUGAACUGUGUCAAUCUGUUUGUUUUUUGAAGUGGGAAGGGAUGAAUUGAACAAGAAUGAAGGACGACGUGUUUGUUCUUCAACCAUUUCCCUCUGAAACCUAGAAAAUUGGGGGAAAUCAUGGCUAGAGCAUAUGUGAACUUGGCCUCCGGUCAUUUAGUCAGGUUUCUGGUUCUGCUUGGGAGAGUAUCAAGUGUUUCCCGUUUGUUUAUUUAAAUAAUUUGUAUCUAAUUCUUGUGAAGUAGAUCGUGCUUGGGAGAGUAGCAUGUGUUUCCCAGCAAGCAUGUUGCUUGCUGGUUUUAGAUUAUUGAUUUAGUUACAUGCAUAGAACCUUUUGGACGGUUGGCUUGGCUGUUCGGAUCUAUUUUUAUACAGGGAAAACCGUAUUCCAAUCAUAAAACUGAUACAACGGGCACACUAAUAUGACUGCUGUACUUUGAUAUCGACCAUUUGAUUAUUCAGGAGAUAUGUAUCAAAAGAAGAAAAAAAAGGUGUGAACCAUUUGAUCGCUGGGUAGAUGUGUGUUAAGGAAAUAAAACAGACAACAUGUUUGUUCCUUUGGAUAUAUGUUG
Non-coding RNA from Triticum urartu, 1428 nucleotides. Lineage: Eukaryota; Viridiplantae; Streptophyta; Magnoliopsida; Poales; Poaceae. The record is from RefSeq and is a predicted model, not a curated record.